Molecule: ribosomal RNA, 851 nt
Filed under: Muyocopron dipterocarpi
Lineage: Eukaryota; Fungi; Ascomycota; Dothideomycetes; Muyocopronales; Muyocopronaceae
Description: partial large subunit ribosomal RNA
Rfam family: Eukaryotic large subunit ribosomal RNA
Source: RNAcentral
GGGAUUGCCUCAGUAACGGCGAGUGAAGCGGCAACAGCUCAAAUUUGAAAUCUGGCGUCUUCGGCGCCCGAGUUGUAAUUUGCAGAGGAUGCUUCGGCGUAGGCGCCGCCCAAAGUUCCUUGGAACGGGACGUCGCAGAGGGUGAGAGCCCCGUGUUCGGGCGGAUGCCGUCGCCAUGUGAAGCUCCUUCGACGAGUCGAGUUGUUUGGGAAUGCAGCUCAAAACGGGAGGUAAAUUUCUUCCAAAGCUAAAUACCGGCCGGAGACCGAUAGUGCACAAGUAGAGUGAUCGAAAGAUGAAAAGCACUUUGGAAAGAGAGUCAAACAGCGCGUGAAAUUGUUAAAAGGGAAGCGCUUGCGGUCAGAACUUGGCCGCCGUUGCUCGGGGAGGUCUCGCGCCUCCCUCGCUCUUCGGCGGCUGGGCCAGCAUCGGUUCGGGCGGCUCGAGAAAGGUCGUGGGAACGUAGCUCCCUCCGGGGAGUGUUAUAGCCCGCGGCGCAAUAGGGCCCGCCUGGACCGAGGUCUGCGCAUCUGCUCGGAUGCUGGCGUAAUGGCCCCAAGCGGCCCGUCUUGAAACACGGACCAAGGAGUCUAACAUUCGUGCGAGUGUUCGGGCGUUAAACCCGUGCGCGCAAUGAAAGUGAACGUAGGUGGGAGCCCCUUGUGGGUGCACCAUCGACCGAUCCAAAUGUUUUCGGAUGGAUUUGAGUAUGAGCACGUAUGUUGGGACCCGAAAGAUGGUGAACUAUGCCUAAACAGGGCGAAGCCAGAGGAAACUCUGGUGGAGGCUCGCAGCGGUUCUGACGUGCAAAUCGAUCGUCAAAUUCGGGCAUAGGGGCGAAAGACUAAUCG